RNAcentral lists this ribosomal RNA (549 nucleotides) under Callistoctopus minor (long arm octopus). RNAcentral describes it as "partial 16S ribosomal RNA". It matches the Rfam family "Bacterial large subunit ribosomal RNA", at positions 1817 to 2597 of the family's 2925-position model. Lineage: Eukaryota; Metazoa; Mollusca; Cephalopoda; Octopoda; Octopodidae. The record is from RNAcentral.
GUCUCUUUGAAAAUUAUUAAUAAAGAGUUGGGCCUGCUCGGUGAGAAGAAAAAUUUAACAGCUGCGGUAUUAUAACUGUACUAAGGUAGCAUAAUAAUUUGCCUUAUAAAUUAAGGCUAGAAUGAAUGGUUUGACGAAAAUUAGACUGUCUUUAUUUUAUUUGUUAGAAAUUAAUUUUUAUAGUGAAAAAGCUUGAAUAAUUUAAGGGGACGAGAAGACCCUAUUGAGCUUUAUUUAUUAAUAUUUAAAUAUAAAUAUAUAAUUUAUAUUAUGAAAAUUAUGUUGUAUAUAUAUAUAUUUAAUUGGAUUUAAUUUUGAUUGGGGUGAUCAAGGAAUAAAGAUAAAGUAACUUCCUUAAAAUUAAUGAUUGUUUUUAUAGAGUAAUAAACCAAGUUUUUUGCUUAUAAGAUAAGUUACCAUAGGGGUAACAGCGUAAUUUUUUUUGAGAGUUCAUAUUGAAAAAAGAGAUUGCGACCUCGAUGUUGGAUUAAAAAUUACCUUAAGGUGUAGAGGCUUUGUUAGGUGAAUCUGUUCGAUUUUUAAAAUUUU